AGUGAACGCUGGCGAUAGGCCUAACACAUGCAAGUCGAACGGCAGCACAGUAAGAGCUUGCUCUUACGGGUGGCGAGUGGCGGACGGGUGAGGAAUACAUCGGAAUCUACUUUUUCGUGGGGGAUAACGUAGGGAAACUUACGCUAAUACCGCAUACGACCUACGGGUGAAAGCAGGGGAUCUUCGUACCUUGCGCGAUUGAAUGAGCCGAUGUCGGAUUAGCUAGUUGGCGGGGUAAAGGCCCACCAAGGCGACGAUCCGUAGCUGGUCUGAGAGGAUGAUCAGCCACACUGGAACUGAGACACGGUCCAGACUCCUACGGGAGGCAGCAGUGGGGAAUAUUGGACAAUGGGCGCAAGCCUGAUCCAGCCAUACCGCGUGGGUGAAGAAGGCCUUCGGGUUGUAAAGCCAUUUUGUUGGGAAAGAAAAACAGCAGGUUAAUACCCCGCUGUUCUGACGGUACCCAAAGAAUAAGCACCGGCUAACUUCGUG
Molecule: ribosomal RNA, 492 nt
Filed under: uncultured bacterium
Lineage: Bacteria
Description: partial 16S ribosomal RNA
Rfam family: Bacterial small subunit ribosomal RNA
Source: RNAcentral